AGUGAACGCUGGCGGUAGGCCUAACACAUGCAAGUCGAACGGCAGCACAGUAAGAGCUUGCUCUUACGGGUGGCGAGUGGCGGACGGGUGGGGAAUACAUCGGAAUCUACUUUUUCGUGAGGGAUAACGUAGGGAAACUUACGCUAAUACCGCAUACGACCUACGGGUGAAAGCAGGGGAUCUUCGGACCUUGCGCGAUUGAAUGAGCCGAUGUCGGAUUAGCUUGUUGGCGGGGUAGAGGCGCACCAAGGCGACGAUCCGUAGCUGGUCUGAGAGGAUGAGCAGCGACACUGGAACUGAGACACGGUCCAGACUCCUACGGGAGGCAGCAGUGGGGAAUAUUGGACAAGGGGCGCAAGCCGGAUCCAGCCAUACCGCGUGGGUGAAGAAGGUCUUCGGGUUGUAAAGCCCUUUUGUUGGGAAAGAAAAGCAGCAGGUUAAUACCCCGCUGUUCUGACGGUACUCAAAGAAUAAGCACCGGCUAACUUCGUG
This 492-nucleotide ribosomal RNA is filed under the name uncultured bacterium. Its description in RNAcentral is "partial 16S ribosomal RNA". It matches the Rfam family "Bacterial small subunit ribosomal RNA", at positions 29 to 507 of the family's 1533-position model. The record is from RNAcentral.